Molecule: long non-coding RNA, 365 nt
Filed under: Arabidopsis lyrata
Lineage: Eukaryota; Viridiplantae; Streptophyta; Magnoliopsida; Brassicales; Brassicaceae
Description: long non-coding RNA (ALYR_LNC000215)
Source: RNAcentral
UCGGAAUAAACGAAUCGAAUAACAAAUACCACUAAAAACCCGGAUAUCCGCUCCGUGCCCACCCCUACAUGUAAUGGAUUAUCACUAUUUUAUUUUUGGUAAAGAACGCACGUUUUUUUGUACACCGCCCUUCUAGAAGCCCAACCCCACACACACAUACUCUUACGUCAUUUGCAUACAAACUCCCGUCUUCUGGAACCAAUGAAAUCACUAUUACAAAAGUUGCUCUUAAAAGAAAAACAAAAUACAAAGAAACCAUUUUUAUAUUGUCGUCAAUAAUAAUGGCCACUUUCUGAUUACAUAUAUAUGAAUGUAUAUACUACUAUAAUACGUAGCUGCUCGUGUUUCUUGUCUCAGUUCUCUGU